This 96-nucleotide transfer RNA is filed under the name Ormosia sericeolucida. RNAcentral's name for it is "tRNA-Ser". The stretch from base 33 to 86 matches the Rfam family "tRNA", at positions 10 to 63 of the family's 71-position model. Rfam says of the family: Transfer RNA (tRNA) molecules are approximately 80 nucleotides in length. RNAcentral also lists the same sequence under 1 other name. Lineage: Eukaryota; Viridiplantae; Streptophyta; Magnoliopsida; Fabales; Fabaceae. The record is from RNAcentral.
GCGUGCACUUGUAUGGUCUGGAGAAGCUUACUUUCGAAUGGUAAAAUUUCUCUUUGCCAAGGAGAAGACGCGGGUUCGAUUCCCGCUAUCCGCCCC